UUUAUUUUAUUAUUAUUAUUAUUAUUAUUAUUAUUAUUAUUAUUAAUGAAAUGCCCCCAUCUGACUGGGCUGCCCCAGCCACUCUGGGCUGCCGCCACAAAAAUAUAGAAACACAAUAAAACAUCGAACAUUUAAAAGCUUCCCUUCAAGACUUCAAACACGACCUUCACCGCAUGAGGAAUGCAGCUGUCCCUCCUUCCCUAACCGAAUAGUUUCCCUUGCUUAGUUAUCUUACUCGAGACCUUAUAAAACCGUCUCUUGUCGUUUAAUUCAGUUGCCGGCUGGUGUGGUUCGAAAACCUUCUGCUCCGUUUCACCUCAGAGCCAGAUUCAGAUGAAAACAUGCCCCAAACUUCAUUUCGCCUGCUGUACUGUAAACCGAGUGCAUGUGGAUGUUCAUUAGUAUACCUUUUCAAAGCAUGGUGUGUUUUGUUUUGUUUUAAAAUCGACGUAUCGAAACUCAAACAGGUCAAACACAGAAAGAGAGAUCUGGAGUGAACAGCAUUCAUUCCGUUCAUCUAUUUCUCUUUCAGCAUUCGUUGCAGUGCAAUUCGCAUGAACGCGGCGCGAUUCUGUAUAACUCUCCAUGGUGCUGAAUUUAUCCACAAAGGGUUGUUAGCCUGACAAGUAGCCAUUGGCUUCGUUUUGUAACAUUUUAAAAGGGCCAGAAAGAUGGUGUGUUGAAGUUAAAUAAAUAAGUAAAGUACCUACUCGGAACCUUAGAUUCUGUUCAGGUGCCCUUUUGGCAAUUUUGGGGAGGCAUGAGGUACUGGAGCACAUUCCAAGCUACAUUAAAAUGUUGGAUUUCUCCAUUGAUUGAUAUGGGUGACCCUCAAUUCUGUCUCUUGCAAUGUUUAAAAGUAGCUUCUCAGUCUAAACCAGGAAAUGACAUUUCCAGGCAAGGAUUAGUUACUUCUACCCUUUAUCAAUUUGCAUCUGUCCUCCUGCCAUAGCUACUCCCCACCCAGUUACCAGGCCCCUGUCUUCCCUAGUCUCUCAUUAUUAUGCAUAAUAUGGGGCUACUCAGUCUGCUGAUACUUCUGUCUUGUGCAUGGGUAAUGCUGUUUUGGCAGAAUAAGCAGGAUCACUGGAAAACUUGGUCUUGUUAUUAUUACAAUUGGUUUGAGUAUGGAGAUGGGAUACGCAGCAGUAUAGGGUCUGAACAUGAAGAGCUUUAUAGGCCAGAAAUCAGUCUAUGCUGAUAGCCAAUUGGAAAGCCAGUGCUGAGUUAGUAAGGAAACUGGGCUGCUAGUAUUAUCUGCUCUCAGUGGUCCACUCUCAGAAAGCAGAUUACCACAUUCUGCACCAGCGUAGUUACCAAAUAGGCACAAAGAAGCACCUUGUGUCUCACCUCAUGGUUACAGAGAUGUACCUGUUCCAAAGUCCAACACAAAAAAAACUUAGCAAUUUACGGUACUACUUUGCUGGAUGCCAUCAAAACCUGGAUCUCCAACCUUAAAAAUAGAUUCAGGAGCACUCCAAGAGCAAACCUCAUUGGUCAGCUUGCUCCUUAGAAGUGACAUGACAGAAUACUUGCCUAUGUUCUGCCUCCAUCAAAAACAUUGGCACAAAUUAUCUUGGAGUGAUUCUUAUUUAGUGAUUCACUGUAUAUUUACUUCUAACAGCUACUGUGUACGCUACUAGUUUUGCUUGUUGUAUGUUGCAGAGCACACUUUCUCAAGCAGCAGCUGGUAAAGAUUUUGCCUUUUAAAACUCUUCCCUAAUUGAGUUAUGUUGGCAAUUUGCAUAUGCAUUUUCCAAGAUCAUUAUAAAAAACUAUAUUUGAUUCAAG
This is a non-coding RNA of Podarcis lilfordi (Lilford's wall lizard), 1791 nucleotides long. The record is from the annotation of a GenBank genome assembly. NCBI's taxonomy places the organism in Eukaryota, Metazoa, Chordata, Lepidosauria, Squamata, Lacertidae.